GAUGAAACGCUGGCGGCGUGCCUAACACAUGCAAGUCGAACGGAGUUAUGCAGAGGAAGUUUUCGGAUGGAAUCGGCGUAACUUAGUGGCGGACGGGUGAGUAAACGCGUGGGAAAACCUGCCCUGUACCGGGGGAUAACACUUAGAAAUAGGUGCUAAUACCGCAUAAGCGCACAGCUUCACAUGAAGCAGUGUGAAAAAACUCCGGUGGUACGGAGUGUCC
This 223-nucleotide ribosomal RNA is filed under the name uncultured bacterium. RNAcentral's name for it is "partial 16S ribosomal RNA". It matches the Rfam family "Bacterial small subunit ribosomal RNA", at positions 27 to 231 of the family's 1533-position model. The record is from RNAcentral.